GUUUCCUAAUUCAUUUUGUUAUCUUCUACUCCACCGAUUGAGCUCAUUUCCAUGUAAAAAAUGAUGUGCCUUUCCCUAAAUCUUCAUUUUAUCUUGCUUGUGCUUUGGGUCAUCAACACUUUGCCCUGGAUCUCGAUGCUUGUACUAUCUUCAGCUCUCAGAAGUUCCUUGUUGUUUAUGCCAAAAAUAAGAAGUUCCGGAGAACCGUUAUUAUCAAUUAAUCCGGAACCUCAGCUGAUCAGGAGAAUGACAGAAUAGCAAGAGGCUAACAGACUGGUGAUCUUGGGCAUAUUUAUAUGCUUAACGCACCAAUAUACACAUAGAUUUGCACUUAGUUUAAGAACUUUUGUAUGAAUUCUUAAGUAUAAUUCAGCUUUUAUUCCGUUUUGUGCCUAAUGGAUAUGAUUAGUAUUUUUAGAAUCAAAAUCAUAAAGAAUUAUGCAUAAUUGGAUACAAGGAGGAUAUGGAAGCAGUAAAGGAAUGCAAGGGACGGAAAUUAAGCUGAAAAUGGGAAGUUGGAACAAAGAAAUCCUCAUUUGAAGACACUUCGCGUCGCGAUGAGCAACAAAAUAGAAAUGGUUGAAUUCCAGUGAAGGUUUGCAAAACCACUGUGUCAUGAAGAAGUUUCGUUUAUCAGAUUUGGUGACCUGAAGGUUUAGCACAUCAAAGAGGAUGAUUAUUUUGCAAUUGUCCCAAUCCAGUGGCUCACCGCGAUAGUGGCGCGUCGUGCCGAGGGUGAAUUUUAAAAUUGUUGGGGUAUGCUUAAGCUCCAUAAUUUUUUAGAUUUUAAUGGAAAAUAGCAAUCGAAGGCAUGGCACGACACGCCGGAUGGAUAAAUUUGGAAUAUUUUAGCUAUUUUGCCCCAGCUAUAAAAGGAAUAAUCCAAGAUAAUGUGAAGGACUUUUGUCAAGUGGAGCAGCGGCGGAAAAACAAAAAUUUCUCUCUUUUAAGGUUCAUAAACAUUCUUUGGAAUUUCUUUAUUUCAAGGAUUGAUUUGGGUAUUAUUUGUUACUUAUUUUGGAUGGUUAAUUCAAACAUGAGUAGCUAAACACUCCCUUUCUGGGGUUGAGGCUAAGAACACGAGUACUGUUUAAUAUUCUUAUUCAUAGUCUUUCCUUUGGAUUAUCA
Long non-coding RNA from Capsicum annuum, 1128 nucleotides. RefSeq lists it as uncharacterized. Lineage: Eukaryota; Viridiplantae; Streptophyta; Magnoliopsida; Solanales; Solanaceae. The transcript is spliced from 2 exons. The record is from RefSeq and is a predicted model, not a curated record.